RNAcentral lists this ribosomal RNA (880 nucleotides) under Gaeumannomyces nanograminis. RNAcentral describes it as "partial 28S large subunit ribosomal RNA". It matches the Rfam family "Eukaryotic large subunit ribosomal RNA", at positions 45 to 955 of the family's 3401-position model. Lineage: Eukaryota; Fungi; Ascomycota; Sordariomycetes; Magnaporthales; Magnaporthaceae. The record is from RNAcentral.
CAUUAGCGGAGGAAAAGAAACCAACAGGGAUUGCCCUAGUAACGGCGAGUGAAGCGGCAACAGCUCAAAUUUGAAAUCUGGCCCUAGGCCCGAGUUGUAAUUUGCAGAGGAUGCUUUUGGCAAAGCGCUUACCGAGUCCCCUGGAACGGGGCGCCACAGAGGGUGAGAGCCCCGUAUGGUAUGACGCCGAGCCUCUGUAAAGCUCCUUCGACGAGUCGAGUAGUUUGGGAAUGCUGCUCUAAAUGGGAGGUAAAUUUCUUCUAAAGCUAAAUACCGGCCAGAGACCGAUAGCGCACAAGUAGAGUGAUCGAAAGAUGAAAAGCACUUUGAAAAGAGGGUUAAAUAGCACGUGAAAUUGUUGAAAGGGAAGCGCUCGUGACCAGACUUGCGCCGGGCGGAUCAUCCAGCGUUCUCGCUGGUGCACUCCGCCCGGCUCAGGCCAGCAUCGGUUUUCGCCGGGGGACAAAAGCUUCGGGAACGUGGCUCCCUUCGGGGAGUGUUAUAGCCCGUCGUUUAAUACCCCGGCGGGGACCGAGGACCGCGCUUCGGCAAGGAUGCUGGCGUAAUGGUCAUCAGCGACCCGUCUUGAAACACGGACCGAGGAGUCAAGCAUUAGUGCGAGUGUUUGGGUGUAAAACCCGCACGCGUAAUGAAAGUGAACGUAGGUGAGAGCUUCGGCGCAUCAUCGACCGAUCCUGAUGUUUUCGGAUGGAUUUGAGUAGGAGCAUUAACGCUUGGACCCGAAAGAUGGUGAACUAUACUUGAAUAGGGUGAAGCCAGAGGAAACUCUGGUGGAGGCUCGCAGCGGUUCUGACGUGCAAAUCGAUCGUCAAAUUUGAGUAUAGGGGCGAAAGACUAAUCGAACCAUCUAGUAGCUGGU